RNAcentral lists this long non-coding RNA (617 nucleotides) under Nicotiana benthamiana. RNAcentral's name for it is "long non-coding RNA (NBEN_LNC009429)". Lineage: Eukaryota; Viridiplantae; Streptophyta; Magnoliopsida; Solanales; Solanaceae. The record is from RNAcentral.
AAUAAGAGAGUCUUAUUGGUGAAAACCCUCAAGAGCACUAUAAAGCGAUGAAGAGUUGAGAAAGACAAACGAGAGAGUCUUAUCGGUGAAAACCCUCAAGGGCACUAUAAGGCGAUGGUGAGUUGAGAAAAAGGCAAAUAAGAGAGGUCAAUUGGUGAAAACCCACAAAGGGCAUCGUUGAUCGAUUUUAGGUCUUCUCAUAUCCCGGCACAAACAUGGUUAAAGAACUCAGUUUCAUAGAGAAGUUUACACAGAUUUUAAUCGUUGAUCGAUUUUAGGUCUUCUUAUAUCCCGGCACAAGCAUGGUUAAAUAACUCAGUUUUGAAAGUGAGGUUUACUACAGAUUUUGAGAAUUAGACGGUUUAGACGGAUCAGGCAUCCAGCCCAAAGUGCAUGUGAUGUUCAUUGAAGUCAGCAUGUUCCUCCAGAUAAGUCUUUUCUUAUUCUUCCCCUAAAAGGGAAACUUCUUGAUUAAGUUGUAAUUAUUAGUUCACCUAUUUGUUUUCUUUCGUACUAUUAUUUUUGAGUCCCUUUCAGUUUAACUUUGUCAAAGCAAAGCAAAGAAAAGGCCACAAAAUUGGUUACAGUUUCCUCGUUAUAUGAAUAAAAAAUUUCUG